GGUCGUUUAGCUCAGUCGGUAGAGCGCUGUGCUAAUAACGCAGAUGUCACUGGUUCGAACCCAGUAUCGACCA
Molecule: non-coding RNA, 73 nt
Organism: Anaeramoeba ignava
Lineage: Eukaryota; Anaeramoebidae
Source: the annotation of a GenBank genome assembly